AACGAACGCUGGCGGCAGGCCUAACACAUGCAAGUCGAACGCUCGUAGCAAUACGAGAGUGGCAGACGGGUGAGUAACACGUGGGAACCUUACCCUAUGGUUCGGAAUAGCUCAGGGAAACUUGGGGUAAUACCGGAUAAGCCCUUCGGGGAAGAUUAUCGCCAUUGGAUGGGCCCGCGUCGGAUUAGCUAGUUGGUGAGGUAACGGCUCACCAAGGCAACGAUCCGUAGCUGGUCUGAGAGGAUGAUCAGCCACACUGGGACUGAGACACGGCCCAGACUCCUACGGGAGGCAGCAGUGGGGAAUAUUGGACAAUGGGCGCAAGCCUGAUCCAGCCAUGCCGCGUGAGUGACGAAGGUCUUCGGAUUGUAAAACUCUUUUGGCGGGACGAUAAUGACGGUACCCGCAGAAUAAGCCCCGGCUAACUUCGUGCCAGCAGCCGCAGUAAU
This 449-nucleotide ribosomal RNA is filed under the name uncultured bacterium. Its description in RNAcentral is "bacterial SSU rRNA". It matches the Rfam family "Bacterial small subunit ribosomal RNA", at positions 29 to 524 of the family's 1533-position model. The record is from RNAcentral.